GAUGAACGCUGGCGGCGUGCCUAAUACAUGCAAGUCUAGCGAACGGACGAGAAGCUUGCUUCUCUGAUGUUAGCGGCGGACGGGUGAGUAACACGUGGAUAACCUACCUAUAAGACUGGGAUAACUUCGGGAAACCGGAGCUAAUACCGGAUAAUAUUUUGAACCGCAUGGUUCAAAAGUGAAAGACGGUCUUGCUGUCACUUAUAGAUGGAUCCGCGCUGCAUUAGCUAGUUGGUAAGGUAACGGCUUACCAAGGCAACGAUGCAUAGCCGACCUGAGAGGGUGAUCGGCCACACUGGAACUGAGACACGGUCCAGACUCCUACGGGAGGCAGCAGUAGGGAAUCUUCCGCAAUGGGCGAAAGCCUGACGGAGCAACGCCGCGUGAGUGAUGAAGGUCUUCGGAUCGUAAAACUCUGUUAUUAGGGAAGAACAUAUGUGUAAGUAACUGUGCACAUCUUGACGGUACCUAAUCAGAAAGCCACGGCUAACCACGUG
RNAcentral lists this ribosomal RNA (497 nucleotides) under uncultured bacterium. RNAcentral describes it as "partial 16S ribosomal RNA". It matches the Rfam family "Bacterial small subunit ribosomal RNA", at positions 28 to 507 of the family's 1533-position model. The record is from RNAcentral.